Molecule: long non-coding RNA, 1143 nt
Filed under: Homo sapiens (human)
Lineage: Eukaryota; Metazoa; Chordata; Mammalia; Primates; Hominidae
Description: HSALNT0295710
Source: RNAcentral
GGCUCAAGCAGUUCUCAUGCCUCAGCCUCGCAAGUAGCUGGGACUAUAGGUGUAACACUCACCACGAAGGUCUGCAGCUUCACUCCUGAAGCCAGCGAGACCACGAACCCACCGGGAGGAACGAACAACUCCAGAUGCGCCGCCUUAAGAGCUGUAACACUCACCGCGAAGGUCCGUGGCCUCACUCCUGAGCCCCCAAGACCACGAACCCACCAGAAGGAAGAAACUCCAAACACAUCCGAACAUCAGAAGGAACAAACUCUGGACACGCUGACUUUAAGAACUGUAACACUCACCGCGAAGGUCUGCGGCUUCAUUCUUGAAGUCAGUGAGACCAAGAACCCACCAAUUCCGGACACAAUGCCAUUCUCCUGCCUCAGCCUCCCGAGUAGCUGGGACUACAGGUGGCCGCCACCACGCCUGGCUAAUUUUUUGUAUUUUUAGUAGAGACAGGGUUUCACUGUGUUAGCCAGGAUGAUCUCCAUCUCCUGACCUCGUGAUCCGCCCGCCUUGGCCUCCCAAAGUGCUAGGAUUACAGACGUGAGCCACUGCGCCCAGCCCAGCUUAGCUUUUUAACAGCUUAGUUCUUUCAUCUUUGUUUGAAUACAAAGGCCAAGGAAAAUAGUCUACAUGUUAUUUUCAGGAAAAUUUUCUGUAUAAAUUAUUGUUAUUGAAGCAUUAAUUUUCUAUUUCAUGAUCAGGUUACAUGCCUUGGAAAGGAUGUAGUAUAUGAUGAAAUUGCCCAAAUCAUUUGAAUGAUAAUAAAAGUUUAAAAAAAAAAAAGAAAAAAAUUAAAGGUGGCUGUGUGUAACAAGAUGUUGAAAGGUUUUCCUGGUUGUGUUGGAGUUUGAGCUGAGUCUUAAGGACAGAAGUGUACACAGGUACCCCCACAUUGUAGAAAAAUACUUUUCCAGCCACGCAAAAGACAGCACAAUUCCUCCAGCUCCCAUGGCCCCCACUGCCACCUGCAGCCUCUAUGAGAUGACACAUUUGACACAGGAAAGAGAGCACGCUCAUGGAGAUAGAUCUGUUGUUGAUUGCUGAUCUCUCUGGAGUCCUUUGGUAUUCCCUGUUUCUUGUUCUUUAGGGGCGAGGGGAGGACGCAGACCAAGGUAGGACAGUACCAAGAGACUGGGAGUGCCU